This is a long non-coding RNA of Heterocephalus glaber (naked mole-rat), 745 nucleotides long. The record is from Ensembl. Lineage: Eukaryota; Metazoa; Chordata; Mammalia; Rodentia; Bathyergidae.
CACCAUGCUUUCUGCCAUGAGCUUCCUACACAGUCCUUUUUUGUGAGCUCACUAAACUCAUCCUUAAAUAAGUCCCCACGUGCAGAACAUUUAUCAGGUCACCCUGAGGUGACCUCAAGAGCUGUCCUCUGAACUCAUCGUCUGGGACUGCCCUUGCUCACUGCACGACAGCCCCCGCGACUCCUGGCUGUGCUCAAACACACAAGGUGUGCUGCUGCCUGGCGUCCUCGCGUGGGACAUCUCUGCCUCCUCUCCCCAGGGAGCAGGUUUCUCUCACUUGCUUCAUGUCUUUGCCUGAUGUGGUGAGUUUUGGAGGAACAUUCACUACCAUCACAUUUAUCAUUCACAUUUAUAAACAACAAAUUGUUUCCUGCAUAACAUAAAAAAAUCUCAGGAUGAUAUGAAGAAGAGGAACAGAAGGGAAGUCAAAGGAAAAAAGUCAACCCUAGAGGGGCCUUACAGCCAGCCCUAGAAGUAAAUGAUUUCAGUGAACAAGCAACCACCAGCCAGACAAGAUCACUCAUAUCUUAGGGGCAACAAAAUGAAUGGUGUAACCACCAGAUCCCAACUUCAUUAGGACAAAGGGACUAGAAAACUCCUGGAAUGCAGAAGUUGUGCAAAGCAAGAGUCCAUGCCAAGUGGUGGGCUCCGGGUGAAUAGCAAUCAAAGCAAGCUACACUGAGCUUGUUUUCUGAUUUGUAAACUGAAGAUAGCAUUUCCUGUUAAUGUGAAUAUUAAAUGAGGU